Molecule: ribosomal RNA, 165 nt
Filed under: uncultured bacterium
Lineage: Bacteria
Description: partial 16S rRNA
Rfam family: Bacterial small subunit ribosomal RNA
Source: RNAcentral
CAGUAGGAUCUUCCACAAUGGGCGCAAGCCUGAUGGAGCAACACCGCGUGAGUGAAGAAGGGUUUCGGCUCGUAAAGCUCUGUUGUUAAAGAAGAACACGUAUGAGAGUAACUGUUCAUACGUUGACGGUAUUUAACCAGAAAGUCACGGCUAACUACGUGCCAG